ACAUAUUAGUGUUUUAUUUUUCAUGAUUUUGUUUUACUAAUGCUUGAAUUCUUCUUCCACUUCAAAUAUUUUGUGAUGAUCUAAAUCCAUUUGAAUCCCACUUUGUAACACAACAUAAAGUGGAAAAAGUCCAGGGGUGUGGAAACUUUCUGAAGGCACUGUAUGAAGGGGGAAAAGCUAGAUCUAAUGAAGCUAGCCAUUCCAACUUAGGCUUCAUCAGUACUAUGACGUUGGAAUGGCCGUAACUAUAUAUACAGAAUAUAGUACACAAUCAAAUAAAUUACCGGUCAACAUCUAAAUAUUGCUCCCAGCGUUGAUCAAAGCUCAGAAAACGUAUAUUCUUGACCUUGUAAUCGCGCUUGCCUCUUUGUGAAGGAGUGGAAUCAUGAACAGUGGUUUGAUCGUUAUAUUUGACUGCGUGGGCUACUGAGUUCUCAUAAUAACUAUGCUUUACAGAGAGAAGGCUACUGAGACAGACAGUGUUGAGGCUGAGGCAGGCUACAAUGCAUGCAGGAGGAAGCAGAGGAGAAAGAGAGAGGAAGCAAGCAGAGAGAAGUUAUGACAACCCCAAACUUGGGGUCAGGCCCCAUGUGGGGUCUCCUGAGAAAAUCUGUACUAAUCUUAUCAAACAAGUGAGAAAUAAAUGUAACAAAAGAAACAACAACAUACAGUACCAGUCAAAAGUUUGAACACACCUACUCAUUCAAAGGUUCUUCUUUCAUUUUUAAAACUAUUUUCUACAUUGUAAAAUAAUAGUGAAGACAUCAAAACUAUGAAAUAACACAUAUGGAAUCAUGGAGUAACCAAAAAAGUGUUAAACAUAUAAAAAUACAUUUUAUAUUUGAGAUUAUUCAAAUUAACCACCCUUUUCCUUGAUGGCAGCUUUGCAAUUCUCUAAACCAACUUCACCUGAAAUGUUUUUCCAACAGUCUUGAAGGAGUUCCCACAUAUGCUGAGCACUUGUUGGCAGCUUUUCCUUCACUCUGUGGUCCAACACAUUGUUGGGAAUGUUAUGAAUAAUGACUAAACAAUAACUACAUUUUAAAUAGAACUAUACCUAAUUAAACUCUACUCUGUUUUAUUAUAUCUGAUUA
Long non-coding RNA from Oncorhynchus tshawytscha (Chinook salmon), 1094 nucleotides. The record is from Ensembl. Lineage: Eukaryota; Metazoa; Chordata; Actinopteri; Salmoniformes; Salmonidae.